RNAcentral lists this ribosomal RNA (508 nucleotides) under uncultured bacterium. RNAcentral's name for it is "partial 16S ribosomal RNA". It matches the Rfam family "Bacterial small subunit ribosomal RNA", at positions 30 to 523 of the family's 1533-position model. The record is from RNAcentral.
AUUGAACGCUGGCGGCAGGCCUAACACAUGCAAGUCGAGCGGCAGCGGAAAAGUAGCUUGCUACUUUUGCCGGCGAGCGGCGGACGGGUGAGUAAUGCCUGGGGAUCUGCCCAGUCGAGGGGGAUAACUACUGGAAACGGUAGCUAAUACCGCAUACGCCCUACGGGGGAAAGCAGGGGACCUUCGGGCCUUGCGCGAUUGGAUGAACCCAGGUGGGAUUAGCUAGUUGGUGAGGUAAUAGCUCACCAAGGCGACGAUCCCUAGCUGGUCUGGGAGGAUGAUCAGCCACACUGGAACUGAGACACGGUCCAGACUCCUACGGGAGGCAGCAGUGGGGAAUAUUGCACAAUGGGGGAAACCCUGAUGCAGCCAUGCCGCGUGUGUGAAGAAGGCCUUCGGGUUGUAAAGCACUUUCAGCGAGGAGGAAAGGUCAGUAGCUAAUAUCUGCUGGCUGUGACGUUACUCGCAGAAGAAGCACCGGCUAACUCCGUGCCAGCCGCCGCCGUAA